Molecule: long non-coding RNA, 372 nt
Filed under: Setaria viridis
Lineage: Eukaryota; Viridiplantae; Streptophyta; Magnoliopsida; Poales; Poaceae
Description: long non-coding RNA (SVIR_LNC008896)
Source: RNAcentral
GGAACAUUCAUUUCGAGAAGUCCUAAUCAAGUCUUCUAAUUUUGUGCACAUAGCUUUUUGAAGAGCUCUAGACAUUAGCAACUAGUUGAAUAUUUGUUGUCACCACUAUUCUGCUUGAAACAUAUCGUUUGCAAUGCGUGGUUUCAUGUUUCUCCACAAAACUUUUGUUUAGAUGUCAACAAUCACAAUUAAAUACCCAAAAGAAAACUAAUGAAGAAAGUACUCAAUUUCCUUCAAGAUCAUCAGAAAAAAAGUCUAUUUUUACAACCUAACUAGUCCCAAUCUAGAAAUCACUCUUGAACUACAAAUCUGAAUAUAUCACGCUGUUGAACAACUAAAACUGAUCACUUUAUACCACUAUAAGACCCAAAG